RNAcentral lists this ribosomal RNA (397 nucleotides) under uncultured bacterium. Its description in RNAcentral is "partial 16S ribosomal RNA". It matches the Rfam family "Bacterial small subunit ribosomal RNA", at positions 523 to 918 of the family's 1533-position model. The record is from RNAcentral.
AUACGUAGGGGGCGAGCGUUGUCCGGAAUGAUUGGGCGUAAAGGGCGCGUAGGCGGCCCGGUAAGUCUGGAGUGAAAGUCCUGUUUUUAAGAUGGGAAUUGCUUUGGAUACUGUCGGGCUUGAGUGCAGGAGAGGUAAGUGGAAUUCCCAGUGUAGCGGUGAAAUGCGUAGAGAUUGGGAGGAACACCAGUGGCGAAGGCGACUUACUGGGCCGUAACUGACGCUGAGGCGCGAAAGUGUGGGGAGCAAACAGGAUUAGAUACCCUGGUAGUCCACACUGUAAACGAUGAAUGCUAGGUGUAGGGGGUAUCGACCCCUUCUGUGCCGCAGUCAACACAAUAAGCAUUCCGCCUGGGGAGUACGGCCGCAAGGUUGAAACUCAAAGGAAUUGACGGGG